CACUAGCCCAGACAGGAACGACAUCCUUUUGUUUUUUUCUUUAAAAAACAAAAGAUAUAGUGGAUGGCUGGAAAUAGC
Molecule: small RNA, 78 nt
Filed under: Flavobacterium branchiophilum
Lineage: Bacteria; Pseudomonadati; Bacteroidota; Flavobacteriia; Flavobacteriales; Flavobacteriaceae
Description: Flavo-1 RNA
Rfam family: Flavo-1 RNA
Source: Rfam by way of RNAcentral